Molecule: long non-coding RNA, 1087 nt
Filed under: Heterocephalus glaber (naked mole-rat)
Lineage: Eukaryota; Metazoa; Chordata; Mammalia; Rodentia; Bathyergidae
Description: lncRNA (ENSHGLG00000041929.1)
Source: RNAcentral
GCUCAUCAGGUCUCAGAAUGAAUAUCUAAGUUUCUUUGUUCUGCUCUCUGGGUUCUUCAAAUAAAAUUGAUAAAUAUUCUACUUUAGCCUGUCAUAUUCUCUCCAAAAUGAAUCAGUGGUGCUUAGUCACUUACUUCCACACUCUUUACAAACCACAGGAAAAAACAAUGAUAAGAAACAGGGAGACAGACUUUAUGGAGAUGAUUAGGGGGCCUGAGGAUAGAGGACAUUCCAGGGAGGUAAGGGGGAAGAGGGGAAGUGAAAAGGAUCAAGAUGUAAUAUAUAUAUCUAUCUCCCAUAGUAAAUAUAUUCACUCAUUAUGCAUCAUAAACAUAUAAAUAAAAUAUUUAAAUUAAGUACCAUUUAUAUUUCAUAAACCACACCAUCUCUUCCAUCAGUGUUCCAUUCUAGCUCAUGUAACAUGAAGAUCUCAAUGAUGGGCCUUCAAGAACAUAGCAGGAGGCCUGCACCAGAACACGUCCCCAUAGAUGCCAGAAGCCAUGCUGGACCCAGCUGUGAGGGCUGUGCAGUAUCUGAAUCUGCAUGGCAGAGGCACCAGGGGGAACAUAAAAGACAUGGUUAUGAGUGCCAGAAGAUAGAGCAGAAGUGAACAACAGAGAGGACCUCUCUGAUGCUCCUCAGUGAAAAUUGAAGCCCACUGUGAAAGUGAAGAAAAUCUCUUCAAUAAAAGCACACUGGACCAUCAUGAUUGGUGGAACAACAUUAAUUUCAGUCAGUCUUAUGAGCUGGAAAAACAUGAAGAUCACUCAGCUCUCCCCUCUUCUUUAUGACCAUUUACUCUGUUGAACAAGAACUCAAUAAAUUCUCAUUACAUGGGUGGAUAUGGCUCCAUUUUUUUUGUGAAACAGUUCUGAAGAUAAUUUAAAUUAAAGUCACUUCUAGGAUGUUUCCAAUCCAUUACUGUUUCAGCUAGUAAAUAAAUUUCAAACCAUGGAAAGAGCAACAUAGUUGGAUUAUAUGUUAUUGAAAUCACUUUAAAAUCUGUGUAUUGUCAUAAAGAUGUUUUAGAUAUUACAUAUAUCUCAUAUAAUAAGGAAGCUUAAAGAAGAUGGAAUUGUGAAAGUGC